Molecule: long non-coding RNA, 203 nt
Filed under: Mytilus galloprovincialis (Mediterranean mussel)
Lineage: Eukaryota; Metazoa; Mollusca; Bivalvia; Mytilida; Mytilidae
Source: RNAcentral
CCUGUAAUGACUUGUUUAUUGGCCUUUUGACUCAAAAUAACCAGUGUCAAUUAAAACAAUGGAAGAGGAUGUUCAAAGGUGCUAUAAUUGCCAAUUAGUAUCCUUAAUGACAAUAUUAUCAAGUCGGCAGAGGACCCUUUACAAUGCCCUUUACAAUAAAUUAAUUAAUGACAGGUGCAUAGGUACACACAAUAUUAUUAACU